GGAGCAGCAGAUGAUUCAACCAACCUAAGCUCAUCAGUGGUGGUUAUAGUAACCAAGUCACCUUCUUGAUCCCUAUACUUGAUCAAUGCACCCUUCAAGUUUGGGAAUCGAUCGAGAACAAUGUCCCUAACAAGUCUAAUACUGCAAUCCACUGGUAACUGCGCCCAUCUAAUAUCCUCCUCAAAUACCAAUUUGACUGUUCUUGUCACUAUCUUUUCUUCCUUAACACUUUUUUUCUCCUCCACAACCACCUUUUCCUCAACUUUCUUUCUGUCAAAUUUGUUACUCUUCUUCUUUUUAGACUUCACUACAACCUUAGUAGAAACCGGAGGCUCAACAACUACUUCCGAUUCUUCAAUUUUUACCCCUUUCUGUUCCAACGCCCCUGCAAUAUCAAGCGCAGUCAAAU
This 409-nucleotide unclassified non-coding RNA is filed under the name Hevea brasiliensis (rubber tree). The record is from RNAcentral. Lineage: Eukaryota; Viridiplantae; Streptophyta; Magnoliopsida; Malpighiales; Euphorbiaceae.